CACAUGGGCAAGAAUGUAUAUCUAGGCUAGAAACAUUCACAUUGUUAUGUAACCGUCGCCACCAUUUAUCUCCAGAACUUUUUUCAUUUUCUCCAACUCAAGCUCUGUGCCCAUUAAACACUAGUUUCCUGUUUCCCCUCUUCCCAUCAGACCCUGGAAACCACCAUUCUCCUUUUUGUGUCUUUGAAUUUGGCUAUUCUAAGUACCUCAUAUAAGUGGAAUUAUAUGAUGUUCACCUUUGUGGAUCUGGCUUAUUUUACUUAGUAUGUCAAGGUUUAUCCAUGUUGUAGCAUGUGCCAGGAUUCUCCACCCCCCUUUAUAUAAGGCUGAAUAAUAGUCCUCUCUCUAUAUAUACACAUUUUGUCUACCCAUUCAUUUAUCAAUGUUGUUCAAGGGUUGCCUUGUGUUUUUUUUCUGCCCAGCCCUGGAAUCAGUCAGUUCCCCAAGAAGUUCUUGUUCCUUUGAUUGGAGAAUGGUAUUUGGAAAGGUCUAGAUGGUAGUUGUGCUCUGAACUGCUGGUUUAUUAUUGUUGAUAGGCUCUGUCAGUGUACAGAGGUAGGAAAUAUAUGUAUGUUUAUUAACACAUAUAUGUAUGCACAUUUAUAUUUAUUUUUAAACCCACCCUUCUGUAUAUCUGUUAAAAUCCAUAGGUCAUACCUGUAUCUGUGAUUCUUGUCCUGUACUACAGGGUUAAUCUUAGCUUUCCUUCUCUCCUUAUUUAUAGCUCUGUAUUUCUGAGAAUGGAAAUGAGGCUGUCAUUAUCCACAAUAGAUAUUUUCCCAUUUGUAUAUGUAUAUAAUACAGUUUCAGAUUUGCUAACCUGUAACCCUGCAAAAUAACAUUUACUAACUACAGCAUUUGUGUACAUUAGUACUCUUUUUCACACAUAACCCUUUUCCUUAUUAGACCAAAAAAUCCAAACUCUCUUAAAUAUCAUGAAUUUCAUGUUCUUGUUUCCUUGUUUAUUUUUUCUGUGUUUUUUUAAAUCACAGAUUUAAGAUCUGCC
RNAcentral lists this long non-coding RNA (1006 nucleotides) under Homo sapiens (human). RNAcentral describes it as "HSALNT0308425". Lineage: Eukaryota; Metazoa; Chordata; Mammalia; Primates; Hominidae. The record is from RNAcentral.